GAUUUGCAGUGUGGGUGCCGUGUGUGCAUUGGGUUACUGAGGAGACGAGGCGAGCCCUAGGAAAUAUCUGGCCGCACUUCCUCUCUCCCCUCCCCCUCCCUCUGCGCCGCCACAGCUCCUCUUCUUUGUGCGCGGAGGCCAGCGCGGCUCGUCGCGCCACCAUCCGUCCACCCCGCCGCUCGUUUUCCUCCUCUCUCAGAUUGGGGGUGGCCGCCGCAGCUCCAUCUUCUCCCUGCCCUCCAUACCCAGGCGUGCAGCGGCCAGGUCGGAAGAAGCUCGAGCCGCUGUGGUGGUCCAUGGCGCCGUCGCCGUUGCCGUCACGGAUCACCAAGGCUGCUGCUGGUUGUUUGUCUCUGCGGAUUCUUGGCUUCUCCGGCGUGGUGCGUAUUUAAUCAACAUGGAAAGAUUCGGUUCUCUAUUGGUUGUUGCUCCUUGGGGCUUGUCUUUAACCAGGAAGCUGGGAUGCCUGCUCUUUCAUGUCGGCUUCUCAUUUGACAAAGCAUAUGUCCGUGGUUUAGAUCCAUGCUUGUGCAACCUACAGAAUUUGUUGUGCUGGCUCUUGCUUGUGCUUUACUGUUUGUCCUUCAGGAGACCAGCACAAUGUCGUUUCCUUUUUGUAGUUACUCAUUCAUACAUGCAGGUUCUUGGGGCAUCCAAUAGAAUGAAACUUUUAUUUCGAUGCCCAGUGCGUCCUUUGUUUGCUUCCUAUUAAUCUGUUCAAUGGCCAGUGUGUCUUUUGUUUGCUUCCUAUUAAUCUUAUCGUCUAUUUUUGUUCUGAAGCAUGAGGUUGCUUGUUCUUUUGUUCCGUUGUGCCCAUCAGAUUUCAUCUGUGUUUGACUCUAGGCUCGUCGUGCACUUGGAGAUUCUUGUAUUUUGUCUGCUUUGCAUGGCUUGUUGCCGACCAAGGUUCUGUUGUUAUGGCUUUCACUUGCUUUGUCAUCUACCGCCUUGUGAUCUUGCCCGUUGGACGCCUUGAUAUCAAGGUCAUGUUCUUGGUGUCUUCGCUGCUUUGCCGAGUAUUGUCUGCUUGCAUCCACCCACUAGCCAUUGAUCCAUUGUUUUCGGCCAUGACAGCUCGACUGAUCAGUCCAGCCCAGUGCCUACACCGCAGAUCAACCACCCUGCAUAGCACUUGAUGCGCGGUCGCUGAGCUGAUCCUUCUGCGUUCAUAGAAGGCCUUUGAUCCACUUCCUUAUUCAAUGGGGCUGACUACAAUCUGCUACACGUGUCGUGGUGUCGCUAGAGAAACUGGCAUGGAGGUCGUUGACAUUACAGACAAGUUCAUGCUUGAGGUGAUGUUCAUUAAGCUGCAGCUCCCACAACCACAGUUCUUCUGCUGCAAAGUUGGGGAAAGAUUUGUAGUCACAAUGAAGUUUCAUCCGAGCACACAACAUCAGCGACGUGAUGAUGAAGCAAUGACAUAGGGGUAUAUCCACUUCGGGGAGGAUCUACUUCCACAGCCUAUGUGGCUUUAGAAGAUGCCGAUACUACCAGCUACAGCAGCCUUAUCUGAAUAUCCAGUUAUUACCUCUUGUUGGAAAUAUGCCCUAGAGGCAAUAAUAAAUGGUUAUUAUUAUAUUUCUUUGUUCAUGGUAAUUGUCUAUUAUUCAUGCUAUAAUUGUAUUGUCCGGAAAUCGUAAUACAUGUGUGAAUACAUAGACCACAACGUGUCCC
This 1674-nucleotide ribosomal RNA is filed under the name Triticum aestivum (bread wheat). RNAcentral describes it as "partial small subunit ribosomal RNA". Lineage: Eukaryota; Viridiplantae; Streptophyta; Magnoliopsida; Poales; Poaceae. The record is from RNAcentral.